Amaranthus tricolor (Joseph's coat) is the source of this 6389-nucleotide long non-coding RNA. RefSeq lists it as uncharacterized. The transcript is spliced from 5 exons. Lineage: Eukaryota; Viridiplantae; Streptophyta; Magnoliopsida; Caryophyllales; Amaranthaceae. The record is from RefSeq and is a predicted model, not a curated record.
UCUUUUCUUUUCCCAAUUUCUUAAAAUCGUCCCCUCACCUACCCGUGUUCCCCACACUAAGUUGACACCUUACCCACCCACCUCUUCUUUUACCAAGCACUGUAAACCACCUUCGAGACCCAUAUAUAAGCAUUUUAUUUAUCCUGAUAAUCACUCCACACCCUUACAUUCCUAUAAACCAAAACAGAACACCCUCAAAUUAACAGAAAAAGAGAAAAGGGCUUGUGCUUUCGUUGUGAUGGUAAAUGGUCCUACAAUCACGUUUGUAAAAAUAGAGAGUAUAUAGUUUGUUGGUCUCGUUUGAUGAUGACCGUGAAGAGUUCGAGGAAACUGUGGACGAAGCCAUUGAAAAUGAAGGAGAGGAAGUUCCAUUAGCAGGCAUUUCAUUGAGUUCGGUGGUGGGUCUUAUAGGGACGAAAACCAUGAAACUAUUAGGUUAAGUUCAAGGAAUAGAGGUGGUUAUUUUAAUUGAUUUCGGAGCCACUAAUAAUUUCAUUUCAGCUUCACUUGUGAGGAAAUUGGGUUUGAUAUGUGAUCCCGGUGCUCGGUUUGCCGUUGUUUUAGGCACUAGGAAGGAAGUGUGAGGUCUAAGAGAAUGAAAAAAUGUGCAAUUAUCAUUCCAAGGCAUUUCCGUAAUGCUCGAUUUUUUGGUUCUUGAGUUAGGGCAUUCGAAUGUGGUAUUGGGAGUGCAGUGGCUGGAGAUGCUUGGACUAGUGACGAUAGAUUGGAAAUUACAAACCAUGAGGUGUAGCCUUAAUGAAGUGGACCAUGUCAUUAGGGGCGACUCUUCCUUACGCAGAGAUUGCAUAUCAUUUAAGGCCAUACUUCGAACAAUCCAACAUGAAAGCCUUGGAGUGCUAGUCGAAUUUGCAGGCCUUCAAGCUGAGCCCACAACUGAUCCUACAGUAAUCCCUCCUUGCUUAGAAGACAUCAUUCAAAAGUAUGACCCCAUAUUCCAACCUAUUACCAGCCUUCCCCCUCACCGAUCCAGAGACCAUACCAUCACCCUUAAAGAUGGUACUAACCCCAUUAAUGUCCUACCCUACCGCUACCCACAAUUCCAGAAAACCGAGAUAGAAACCAUGGUUGCUGACAUGCUCAAGGCAGAAAUUAUCCAAUCCUCAACCAGCCCGUUUUCUUGCCCAGUUAUCCUUGUAAAGAAGGACGGCUCUUGGAGAUUCUGUGUUGAUUACCGAGCACUCAACAAGGCUACUACCCCAGAUAAGUAUCCUAUUCCUAUUAUCGAUGAGCUUUUAGAUGAACUGUAUGGUGCAACUGUUUUUACCAAGCUAGACUUAAAAUCCGGUUAUCAUCAGAUUAGAAUGAGGCAGGAAGACAUUUGUAAAACGACCCCUAACGCACCGAUCACCUUUCAAUCACUCAUGAAUGACAUUUUCCGGCCACAUUAGCAAAAGUUCGUAUUGGUCUUCUUUGACGACAUACUUGUGUAUAGUCGUUCUAUGGAGGACCAUAGGCAGCAAUUUAGACAUUGUUAUGAAUAUUCUGCUUGAGAAUCAAUUAUUUGUCAAUAGGAAGAUGUGAAAUUGGUCCUACACAAGUUGCUUACCUGAUUUUUGCCGGGGGGGAGGUGUGGUGGGGUAGCUAUCGAUGAAGAGAAGGUAGCAGCUAUGAUUAAUUGGCCCCAACCGAAUCCAUUCCAUAAUUGAACCAAACAGUGUGAAUGGAUUGAAUAUCUAUUACAGGAUUGAACCAAACAGUUUUAGUCUGAUAUGGAGUUCUGAAUCCAUACCAUCCUGGUAUGGGGUUCCAUACCAUUCCAAUCCUGCUCACUGAACCAAACGGACCUUUAAAGAGUUACGAGGAUUUUUAGGGCUAACUGGAUAUUAUCAUAAGUUUGUGGCUAACUAUGCAUUCAUUUUGUUGGACCUCUUGAGUUUUGAUGAUGACUACACUUUAUUUAAGCAAAUAUGUUUUUAGAGAUUGUGUGCAGGUCGAUAUCCGGUCGUGAUAAUGAUCGUUGAUAGUACCUAUGACUUAGCUUAUGGAAACGUACAUGUCAAAAGGUUUCAAAAGAGGUUAGGAGAAGCAUAUCGCUUGGGAUGUAAAAUGGAGACAGCAGAUCUACUGUUCCCAAGUUGGAUGUUCUAGCUAAACUGAAGUCUGGAGACAGCGCACUGUUCCUAAGCUGAAGGUUGACUACGUUGACUAAAAAUUCUGGUUAUUAUAUUUUAAUUAUUAUUUUUAGUUAAUGUAUUUAAUAAAAUUAAUUUGUUGCAGUAGUAAUUUAUUAAAAUUAAUUGGCAAAUCGUUUUUCUUUAAAUAAAAUGAAUUAACGUCCUUAUUUUCUAAGAUCCUUUAUUUUAGGAUCUAUAUUUAGUAAAUCUUGGAUUUGUUAAAUAUAUAACUAACUGUUGUUGAAUUGGUCUUAGCUAUUAUUCUUAACCGUCUUUAUAUCUACAAGUUAGCAAGUAACCAUUUCUAAUAAGCAUAACCGUUUCUAUUAAUAGCAAAAACGUUCCAGAAAUUAAUACUGGAACAGGAACAGCUAUUGAAGAAACUGCUGCUUAAAGGGAACAGAAGUUAUUUUAAGGCAAAUGUGAACAACGGUUAUUUAUGUCUGGUUUGACUUAAUCAAAUAACCGUAUGGUUGCUUUAUCCGCAUUACUCCCAUGAUCUUUUGAUAAUGGGAUAAUGGAUUGGAAUAUUCCAUUUUCUUAGGAAUCUUAUUUUCUAUAAAUUGCUAUGUUAAUUCCGGUUUUUAUAUAUGAGAAAAUCCAACGUUUUGUGCUUAAGUGUUUUCAUACGAUUUUUGGAUUUUACAAGAAAUAUUUUGCUUUUAAAAUUGCCAAUUAAUUUUAUAAUAUUUUCUUGAGGAACUCAUUGAUUUUAUUUUAGAGAAUUAUUAUCCUUUUUGUAAGGGUUUUUGAGAGAAUUCAUUGUCAAAACCGAUCAGUGAAGCCUUAAAUUCAUAUGGGAUCAGUGGGAAAUCGACAUUGAUUACCAAAAGUGGGUGUUAAAGCUGAUGGGCUAUGAUUUUAAUUUCUUAUAUAACCCAAGAGCAUCCAACAAAGUGGCUGAUAAGCUGUCUCGGAUUCCUGAUGAGUACGACUAAUUGAUUUCCUUAAUUAGCUCACACUUUAUUCAAUGGGAUAUUCUACAGCAAGAAGUAGACCAUGACAAUAAUUUAGUGAAGAUCCGCCAAGCAAUUGAACAUCAAAAUGCAGCACCAAGGGGAUUCACUAUGCAGGGUGCCAAGCUAUUCUACAAAGUAAUAGGUUUGCUGUCGAAUGGUUUUGGUUUGGCAUGAGGAAACAAAUAAAGCAAAAUGUGCGGGAAUGUACUGUAUGCCAACAGCAAAAGGCCUCAAGUUGUUCGCCUGCUGGGUUGUUACAGCCCUUACCCAUCCCAGCCCAUGUGUGGUCCGAUAUUUCAAUGGAUUUCGUGGAAGGACUACCUAUUUCCAACGAUAUGAACGCAGUGCUAGUUGUGGUGGAUCGUUAACCAAGUAUGCUCAUUUCGUGCCCCUUCGCCACCCAUACAUGGCAUUCUCUGUCGCUACCAAUUUCUACAUGGAUUUCCUACUACCAUAGUUACCGAUCGGGAUCGUAUAUUUUUGAGUAAAUUUUGGCGGGAGUUGUUCAAGCUACAACACACAAAGCUCAUCCGUAGCACCUCCGUCCAUCCACAAACCGACGGUCAAACGGAGAUCGUUAACAAGGCACAUGAAACAUAUAUGAGAUGUUAUAUAAAUAGGCAACCCCGUAAGUGGACCACUUGGAUACCAUGGGCCGAAUAUUGGUAUAAUACUUCACCUCAUUCGUCCACUAUGAUGUCCCCUUUCCAAGCCUUGUACGGUCGACCACCACCACACUUGGUGCGUUUUAGAUCAACUACUCCGUGAAAGGGAUGCAAUUCUAGAUGAGCUGCAAUUUAAUUUAACUCGAGCUCAACAAUUGAUGAAGUAUUAUGCUGAUAAGAAGAGGAAAGAUGUUUCAUAUGAAGUUGGAGAUAUGCUCUAUCUUAAAUUACAACCAUACAGAUAAAGGUUUAUGGCUACACGAAACAAUGAAAAAUUAGCACCUCAUUUCUAUGGUCCAUAUAAAAUAUUGCAAAGGAUUGGGAAAGUGGCCUAUACAUUGCAGCUACCUGAUUCUACUCUAAUACAUCCUACCACUAGUGGAAAAAAACAUAUCUGCUGCGUGUCAUUUGUUGCGGUUUUUUAUAUACGCAGCAAUAAAUAGGAAAAAGAAUUAAAAAAAAACAAUCAAAAAUGCUGCGGUUUCUUCUUAGCCCGCAGCAAAUAAUCCAAUGAAAUGUUGCGGUUUCUUCCUAGCCUGUAGCAUAUAAUCACUUGGCCACUUAAAUGCUGCGGUUUUCUUAUUGCCCGUAGCAUUUAAUACUUUCAAAAACGCGCCUUAUAACGUACUCUUCUAUUUCAUGCAUUAAACAUAAUACGUACAUCUUCUUCAAAAAACCCGACCACAGUUUCAAAAAACCCUGUUCUUCAUCAUCUUAGUUUUUGCUCUUCUUCAUCAUUCUUGCUCUUAACGUUAUACCCAUCUUCACGCUGCUAAUGUUUUCCUAAAACCCACACGAAGAAUUUCAUAAAACACUCUAACGGCUGCUACUGUUUCAUCUUCUUCUUCACGCUGCUACUUCUUGGUUCAUAAACCCACGGCAUAUUUGUUACUUCUUUUCACUCGAAAAACCCAUUGAAACCCAUUGAAACCCACGACAUUUUCUUGUUCAUUGCUACUUAUUCAUAAACCCACGGCUGUAACUGUUCAUAAAUUCGAAAUUUCUGACUUUGGUCUUAUUCAUCUUCAAAACCCAUGAAAUUAAGGUACUGAUAUACAAUGCAUCUUUUCAGAGACGAAAUUGUCCCCGAGAUUGAGAUCUCGGAUAAUGAGCAACAUAGUCAUUACACUGAAGAGGACCAAAUUGUGAGAUAUGAGCGUAUGGCUGAAGACGCUCCACCACUUAACAAUGAUUAUGACACUGAAGAUGCCCCACCAAUGGAUGCUCCCACUACCAAUAAGAAAAGAAAAGGGCGAGGUCCUACGAAAAACCUCAAAGUCACAGAACCCAUGCAUUUGGAAUGCAAUGCAUUGGAUCAACCCUGUGGAAAAUGACGUAGGCAAUAUGGAAAACAAGUGGGCCUAUGUAUCCGCAAGAUUUUAAUAUUGUACGCAUGGAACGAGGUUCCAGAGGGUUUGAAGAACUCUCUAUGGAAUGAUACUAUGAAUCUUCUACACAUCGAGAGCGAUGAGGAGAAGAAGAAUGUGUUUCUUUCAGCUGUUGCUGAAAGAUUCAGAGAUUUCAAAUCCAAGCUAGUAACUGGCUAGAUCACAAAGAAGCGUGCCCGUACGACCAAAAAGGUCAAAAUGGGAAACGAAGGGGGAGAGCAAGCACCUUCGAAGAUGCCCUACGAAAUAUGGGGUCACAUAUCAAAGAAGGAAUGAGAGGCUUUUGUUCCCAAAAGAACAACUUCCAUUGAAGUUGAAAAGCGUGGUAAAACUUCUGAAUCAGCAAGCAAAAGGAAGUUUUACCAUCGCUUGGGCCCAAAAACGUACGAUGAGGCCUGAAAAGAGUGGGUGGAUGCGAUUUUAUACCCCAAUCAGAGUCUAGCCACGACCUCAUCUACGUUUACCUCUGCAUCCAUGAAUACUCCUGCUGGAGAUCGGGUGCGGAAUUAGUAUUGCGGACUUCAUUCUCGAGAUGCAAGUGGUAAAUUUACAAUCACAGAUUCGGGAACGAAGACGGUUGCUGAUGCUGUGAUAGGCUGGAAGGAAAAAGAAGCUACGGGGGAGUUCACCCUAAGAGGCAAUGUUGAUGGUCUUUAGGAAAGACCAUAGAGGGUGGGUAGUUGGAAAAGGAGGCAUCCGCGUGGGGUUAAAGAAGGCACUCGGAAAAGAGUGUGUUGCUACUCAAUCCCGAUCGAUGCCACCUAAUGAAGUCGCAACCCUCAGAGCAGAAAUUAUGAAGGACGUUAUCGCCAAGGUGGCGCUGGUAUUGCAGAAGAUGGGAGCACCCACUGUUGACUUAGCAAAUCUGAUUGUCGAGAAUCAGCAAAGUCAACAUGGGGAUCCUAAGGCUUCGGCCGAGCCAACACCCGAGCCCAUUACCCCCGUAGCAGUCUAGCCCAUUACUACCCCCGAAGGGUAAAAUCCUACACCGGAGACCAUGAAGUAGCUCAAACUUGGUUUGUUUUGCACGAAACUUGGCACACAACACUAUUAGGUAUAUAUUAUUGUGUUGAAGUGGUUAGAAUUGUAAAUCAUAGUCGUAUGCUAGAAGUUACGUGUUAAGUUGCGAUUUUGUGGGUUUUUAAGUGUUUUUGGCACUUUCGCGCAUAAAGUAGCUCAAACUUGGUUUGUUUUGCACGAAACUUGGCACAUAACACUAUUUGGUAUAUAUUAAAGUGUUGA